CAAGGGAAGGAAGUAGCCAAC
This 21-nucleotide microRNA is filed under the name Triticum aestivum (bread wheat). RNAcentral's name for it is "tae-miR9655-3p". Lineage: Eukaryota; Viridiplantae; Streptophyta; Magnoliopsida; Poales; Poaceae. The record is from miRBase by way of RNAcentral.